RNAcentral lists this unclassified non-coding RNA (2820 nucleotides) under Centruroides sculpturatus (bark scorpion). Its description in RNAcentral is "uncharacterized LOC111628645, transcript variant X5". The record is from RNAcentral. Lineage: Eukaryota; Metazoa; Arthropoda; Arachnida; Scorpiones; Buthidae.
ACAUUUUGAAGAAACUACAAAAGAUAAUAUUGAAUCUAAGCAUUUUUUAAUUGAGCAAGAUAAGAGCAGAGAAAGUGAACUUUAUUCUUCAAUCCAUGAAGCAGAUUCCUUGGAAGACAUAAAGCAAUCUGUAUCAGAAAAUUCUUCAACUUCUCCUUCAUUGGCCAUUUCUGAGAAAGUUCCCAUUGUUGAUAAAUCUUUGAAAACAAAAUUUCUUGAAGAUAAAGGAAAUAUGUAUUGUGCACUGGAACAAAAUUUAAAUGCUCAAACAUCUCAGGAAAUUGAAUCUAUGGAUGAUGGUAAAGAGAAAAAGCUUCCAUUUGAAGGAAAGCAGAAAAUUUCACAGCAGAUAAAAGAAGAAUUGCCUGCAUUAGAAAUGCAGAUUCUUCAAUUAUAUAAUGGCAAAAAUGAAGAAGGAAAUCAGAAAGUUUCAAAUAAAGAUAGUGAGCAAGCAAAUUCUGAAUCUUCUCCAGUUGCUAUGGCAUUUACUAUUGCAUUUGAUAGUGAUUUAACAGCAUCACGAAAAAAAUUAGGUAUAAAAGAUAGUAUAAGUCAAUAUGCUCCACGAAAAACUGAACCAGAACGCAGUCCGAUUCAAAAGCUUCGUCCUGGAAAAUUAAAUGAAUCAAAUUCUAAAAAGGCUCUCUCUUUGGAUAUGAAAGAUAUAACUUUAUCAGCUCCAGAUAUUUCAAAGAAAUGGAUUCAGGAAAAUGCCAAACAAUCGCUUCUUUCUCAGUCAACUGAAUCAACUUUAUGGGAUUUAGCAUCAAAAAGAGAACAUAAAGAAAAAGUUUCAUCUGAAGGAAAACUAAGUGAAGCUGCUACUUUUUUAAUCCAAAAAAUGUUAAAUGGUGAGCAAAAGAUUUAUAAUUCUUCUUCAUCAAAUACAGCUAUUGAAUCUUCUCCCAGAAUGACAAAUUGGUCACAAAAUUGGAAUAAAAAAAAUCAGUUGGAUGGCAUUAUAAAAUCUCCAACUAAAGUUUCAUCAGAAUGUAGAAUUAAAAGUCCAGAUGAUGGAUCAGUACUUCAGAAAGAAAUUGAUGAUAAAAGUGAAACUGGGACUUAUACAGUAGAAACAGAUUUAAAUGAUCCUGCAGUGGAUGAAGCAAGACAAAAAAUUGAUGAAAUAUUUGGAAUUCAUAAGAAUAUUGAAAAACUUCAGGCUUCAAAUCUUAAUUCAGAGGAAAAAGAAAAACAGCAUUCUGUUGCAAAUGAACAAAGUAAAUGUUUAGUGAAACCAGUAACACCUAUUACACUUAUAAGCCAGCAAGGGAAUGAAAUAUCCUAUUUAGAAAAAAGCCAUCCUAAAACAAAAACUGAAAAAAAUGCUCGUCCUAAAAGACGUCUUCCUACUCCUCCUAUACCAAAACAGUUGGAUGCAAGCAUAAGUGACAGUUCUGUUGAUAGCAGUAGUAAUAAUGUUACUCGUUUAGGACAUUAUCCCCUUUCUUUGAUUAAAAAAGAGAAGAAACAUCAGUCCAGUCAUAGUAACAAUCAGGACAGCAUUUGUGACUCAUACUCUAAACAAAGUUCUGGUUCCUUACAGAAUACUACUUCAUUUUAUAUUUCAUCAGAUACUUCUGAUCGCAGAUCAAAAUUUUUAGAAAAUGUACAGUCACAAAAACUACAAAAGUCUCUAGGUCUUACAUCCAGCACCAUUGUACCAUCAAGUCAUAUAUCUCUAGACAGUUGUGAUUCUCAAACAAAAUCCAAUAUAGCUCAGCAGGAAAAUUGUCAGAAUGGUGAUGAUGACUCUUUAGAUGGCACAACUUUAUUGCACUAUGUUCCUUCAGAUACUCGGUCAGAAGGAAGUCCUCAAGCUAAAACGCCUCAAAAUGGUAGUGGUUUAUGGAGAAGAAUACCAUGGAAUCUCUCAAAUUCAGAUCUAGAAUUAAAUCGCAGUAAAUCUGAAACUGCAAGUGUUGUAUCUGAUCUUUCCACAAGUACUGAACCCAGUUCUUUAAGUUCCCAAUAUAGUAAAGGUAAAAGUGAUAGUGCUCCGCCAAUGAGACUGAAUAGAGCAUUUGCUUUAAGAAGAGCUCGUUUAGGUAUUGAAUCAGAUAGUGCUACAACUGUUGUUAGUAAAAAAGGUGGUAAAGAAAAUAUCAAACAACAAAGUAGUUCUAACAAAAUUAGUUCUCACCUGAAUCCUCAGCAGUUGUCUCGACAAGAUGGUGGACGAUUUAGUCUUCGUCUACCUAGAAAAUGUACUACAAAAUCAAACGAAAAAUCUGCAUCAAAAUCUAAAGACAGUAAAAGAAAUUCUGCAGCAUCAAAUAAAAAUGGACACAGAAGAAUAGAAAGUGAUCCUGGUAAAGCAAAUAUUCAUUGGAAGAAAAUGGAUAUAAUAAAUGACACUGUUAAUUCUGAUGUAGAAAUAAUCGAAGCACCAAUAAUAUCUAGUCCAUACAAUAAGUUACAAUCUUUCCAUAGAUCAGCUUCAUUUAAUGGUGCAGAAGAACUUUUAUUUGAAAAAGAUAAUUUAAAUGACAGUUCAAAAAAAUUAGAGAGGCCUAAUAAAUUGGUAAAGUCUAGUGCUAUUUCAAAAUUGAGAAAACAAAGUGGAUUAGGAACUACAAAAGCACUUGGAAUUUCUCCUGGAUGCAUUCUAGUUUUGAAGAGAAAGGAUCAGAAAAAUUAUCACAAGGAAAAAGUUCACCGCAACAGCAAAAUUCAAGUAAAAAAGAGCUUUCAGCUUUAGAUAGUCUGGUUAUUUCUGCAAUUCAUCAGUUGUCCAUAAAAUUACGUACAAGAGCUCGUUGCUUAUUAGAAAAAGAAGGGCAAAAAUAUUCAGAGAAAAGUGAUAUUCGAUUAAUGAUU